Non-coding RNA from Tinamus guttatus (white-throated tinamou), 773 nucleotides. Lineage: Eukaryota; Metazoa; Chordata; Aves; Tinamiformes; Tinamidae. The record is from RefSeq and is a predicted model, not a curated record.
GCGGGGCCUCACGCGGCGCUCUGUUGUCCCCGCAGAGGACGAGAUGUUCUCGGACAUCUACAAGAUCCGCGAGGUGGCGAACGGCCUGUGCCUCGAAGUGGAGGGCAAGAUGGUCACCAGGACAGAGGGUCAAAUUGAUGACUCUCUAAUUGGUGGCAAUGCCUCUGCCGAAGGUCCUGAGGGAGAUGGAACAGAAGCCACGGUCAUCACCGGCGUCGACAUAGUGAUCAACCACCACCUCCAGGAAACCAGCUUCACAAAAGAGUCCUACAAGAAGUACAUCAAGGACUACAUGAAAGCAAUCAAAGCCAGACUUGAGGAACAUAAGCCAGAGAGAGUAAAGCCUUUCAUGACGGGAGCUGCAGAACAAAUCAAACACAUUCUUGCCAACUUCAAAAACUACCAGUAACAUGUUUCUUUGAAGUUCUUUGUAGGUGAGAACAUGAAUCCAGAUGGUAUGGUGGCUCUCCUGGAUUUCCGUGAGGAUGGCGUGACCCCAUAUAUGAUUUUCUUUAAGGAUGGCUUAGAAAUAGAGAAAUGUUAACGAAUCAAACAGUCUGAUUUUUGGAUCACCCGUCGUCAUAGCUGGCUGCUGUUUCUUCUUCAUCAGCACAACACCAGGACUCGGCAAUGUCUAACAACUGGACUGAUGUCAUCUUGAGCUUUAUUCACUUAUUUUGACCCUGAUUUGGAGUGGAGGCAUUGUUUUAAAAAGAAAACAAAACCAAACAUCUGUCAUGUAGGUUGUCUAAAAUAAAACUCAUUUAAACCCA